This 832-nucleotide ribosomal RNA is filed under the name uncultured bacterium. Its description in RNAcentral is "bacterial SSU rRNA". It matches the Rfam family "Bacterial small subunit ribosomal RNA", at positions 43 to 869 of the family's 1533-position model. The record is from RNAcentral.
CGAUGCUUACCUGCAGUCGAACGGCAGCGCGAGGAGCUUGCUCCUUGGCGGCGAGUGGCGGACGGGUGAGUAACGCGUAGGAAUCUGCCUAGUAGUGGGGGAUAACCCGGGGAAACUCGGGCUAAUACCGCAUAAUCUCUACGGAGCAAAGUGGGGGACUUUCGAGCCUCACGCUAUUAGAUGAGCCUGCGUCGGAUUAGCUUGUUGGUGGGGUAAAGGCCUACCAAGGCAACGAUCCGUAGCUGGUCUGAGAGGAUGAUCAGCCGCACUGGGACUGAGACACGGCCCAGACUCCUACGGGAGGCAGCAGUGGGGAAUAUUGGACAAUGGGGGCAACCCUGAUCCAGCAAUGCUGCGUGUGUGAAGAAGGCCUUCGGGUUGUAAAGCACUUUCAGUGGGGAAGAAAGACCAAAGAAUAAUACUCUUUGGGGUUGACGUUACCCGCAGAAGAAGCACUGGCUAACUCUGUGCCAGCAGCCGCGGUAAUACAGAGAGUGCAAGCGUUAAUCGGAAUUACUGGGCGUAAAGCGCGCGUAGGUGGAUACUUAAGUCGGAUGUGAAAGCCCUGGGCUUAACCUAGGAAUUGCACCCGAUACUGGGUAUCUAGAGUAUAGUAGAGGGUAGUGGAAUUUCCGGUGUAGCGGUGAAAUGCGUAGAUAUCGGAAAGAACACCAGUGGCGAAGGCGGCUACCUGGACUAAUACUGACACUGAGGUGCGAAAGCGUGGGGAGCAAACAGGAUUAGAGACCCUGGUAGUCCACGCUGUCAACGAUGAGAACUGGCUGUUGGGAGGGUCUUCCUCUUAGUAGCGAAGCUAACGCGUUAAGUUCUC